GUGCUUGUUCCGGCAGCACAUAUACUAAAAUUGGAACAAUACAGAGAAGAUUAACAUGGCCCCUGAGUAAGGAUGUCACGCAAAUUCAUGAAGCAUUCUAUAUUUUU
This is a small nuclear RNA of Castor canadensis (American beaver), 107 nucleotides long. Lineage: Eukaryota; Metazoa; Chordata; Mammalia; Rodentia; Castoridae. The record is from Ensembl.